RNAcentral lists this ribosomal RNA (950 nucleotides) under Planomicrobium sp. BBT83. Its description in RNAcentral is "bacterial SSU rRNA". It matches the Rfam family "Bacterial small subunit ribosomal RNA", at positions 50 to 1002 of the family's 1533-position model. Lineage: Bacteria; Bacillati; Bacillota; Bacilli; Caryophanales; Caryophanaceae. The record is from RNAcentral.
AUUAAAUGCAAGUCGAGCGGAGUCUUUGUGAGCUUGCUCCUGUGCCUUAGCGGCGGACGGGUGAGUAAACGUGGGCAACCUGCCCUGCACAUCGGGAUAACUCCGGGAUACCGGUGCUAAUACCGAAUAGUUUUUUGCCCCUCCUGGGGCGAACCGGAAAGACUGUUUCGGCUGUCUCUGCAGGAUGGGCCCGCGGGGCCUUAGCUAGUUGGUGGGGUAAUGGCCCACCUGGGCUACCAUGCCUAGCCUACCUGACAGGGUGAUCGGCCACACUGGGACUGAUACACGGCCCACACUCCUACGGGAGGCAGCAGUAGGGAAUCUUCCGCAAUGGACGCAAGUCUGACGGAGCAACGCCGCGUGAGUGACGAAGGUUUUCGGAUCGUAAAACUCUGUUGUGAGGGAAGAACAAGUACCAACUAACUACUGGUACCUUGACGGUACCUCACCAGAAAGCCACGGCUAACUACGUGCCAACAGCCGCGGUAAUACGUAGGUGGCAAGCGUUGUCCGGAAUUAUUGGGCGUAAAGCGCGCGCAGGCGGUCCCUUAAGUCUGAUGUGAAAGCGCACGGCUCAACCGUGGAGGGUCAUUGGAAACUGGGGGACUUGAGUGCAAAAGAGGAGAGUGGAAUUCCACGUGUAUCCCUGAAAUGCGUAGAGAUGUCGAGGAACACCAGUGGAGCACGCGACUUUCUGGUCUGUAUCUGACCCUGUAGCGCGAAAGCGGGGGAACAAACGGGAUUAAAUACCCUUGUAUUCCCUGCGUAACCAUCAGUGCUAAUGAUAGGGGGUUUCGCCCGUUAUUGCUGCAUCUAACCUAUAAUCAACUCUCUGAGUACUACGGCCGCAAGCUGCACCUCAAUGAAAUUGACAGGGAUCGCAAAGCCUGAGCAUGUGUAAAUUCGAUACUGGAGACCUUACAAGACUGACAUCCCUCUGACUCUAAACC